GUCUACGGCCAUGCCACACUGAACAUGUCUGAUCUCCCGUCUGAUCUCGGAAGCUAAGCAGGGUCGGGCCUGGUUAGUACUGGGAUGGGAGACCACCUAGGAAGACCAGGUGCUAUAGCCA
Pteropus alecto (black flying fox) is the source of this 121-nucleotide non-coding RNA. NCBI's taxonomy places the organism in Eukaryota, Metazoa, Chordata, Mammalia, Chiroptera, Pteropodidae. The record is from Rfam.